Molecule: ribosomal RNA, 253 nt
Filed under: uncultured bacterium
Lineage: Bacteria
Description: partial 16S ribosomal RNA
Rfam family: Bacterial small subunit ribosomal RNA
Source: RNAcentral
UACGUAGGGUGCAAGCGUUAAUCGGAAUUACUGGGCGUAAAGCGUGCGCAGGCGGUGAUGUAAGCCAGUUGUGAAAUCCCCGGGCUCAACCUGGGAACUGCAUCUGUGACUGCAUCGCUGGAGUACGGUAGAGGGGGAUGGAAUUCCGCGUGUAGCAGUGAAAUGCGUAGAUAUGCGGAGGAACACCGAUGGCGAAGGCAAUCCCCUGGACCUGUACUGACGCUCAUGCACGAAAGCGUGGGGAGCAAACAGG